CCUACGGGUGGCUGCAGUGGGGAAUAUUGCACAAUGGGCGCAAGCCUGAUGCAGCCAUGCCGCGUGUGUGAAGAAGGCCUUCGGGUUGUAAAGCACUUUCAGCGGGGAGGAAGGCGUUAAGGUUAAUAACCUUGUCGAUUGACGUUACCCGCAGAAGAAGCACCGGCUAACUCCGUGCCAGCAGCCGCGGUAAUACGGAGGGUGCAAGCGUUAAUCGGAAUUACUGGGCGUAAAGCGCACGCAGGCGGUCUGUCAAGUCGGAUGUGAAAUCCCCGGGCUCAACCUGGGAACUGCAUUCGAAACUGGCAGGCUAGCGUCUUGUAGAGGGGGGUAGAAUUCCAGGUGUAGCGGUGAAAUGCGUAGAGAUCUGGAGGAAUACCGGUGGCGAAGGCGGCCCCCUGGACAAAGACUGACGCUCAGGUGCGAAAGCGUGGGGAGCAAACAGGAUUAGAUACCCGUGUAGUC
Molecule: ribosomal RNA, 465 nt
Filed under: uncultured Klebsiella sp.
Lineage: Bacteria; Pseudomonadati; Pseudomonadota; Gammaproteobacteria; Enterobacterales; Enterobacteriaceae
Description: bacterial SSU rRNA
Rfam family: Bacterial small subunit ribosomal RNA
Source: RNAcentral